UUAAAGAUUAUGAAGAGGAGAGUAAGUAUAGAGCCUUGAUUUUAGCGAGCUGAUAAUGGUGUGAGAUCAGUAUUAAGUCUAUAUGGAAGAACACCUCGGAAUUUCUAACCGAAAUUACAUGUAAGAGUAGAUUUAGACGAGACCAAACCGUUAAAUUUGGGGAGCAUAAUAAAUGUGCUUAUUAAAGAGAUCAUAUUUAUGAUAAGUUAGGUGGUACCGCGAAUAUAUAACCUUCGUCCUGAUA
RNAcentral lists this non-coding RNA (244 nucleotides) under Clostridium novyi. Its description in RNAcentral is "T-box sequence". It matches the Rfam family "T-box leader". From Rfam's summary of the family: Uncharged tRNA acts as the effector for transcription antitermination of genes in the T-box leader family. T-boxes are found upstream of many aminoacyl-tRNA synthetase genes and some amino acid biosynthetic genes usually in Gram-positive bacteria. Lineage: Bacteria; Bacillati; Bacillota; Clostridia; Eubacteriales; Clostridiaceae. The record is from RNAcentral.